This 497-nucleotide ribosomal RNA is filed under the name uncultured bacterium. Its description in RNAcentral is "partial 16S ribosomal RNA". It matches the Rfam family "Bacterial small subunit ribosomal RNA", at positions 28 to 507 of the family's 1533-position model. The record is from RNAcentral.
GAUGAACGCUGGCGGCGUGCCUAAUACAUGCAAGUCGAGCGAACAGACGAGGAGCUUGCUCCUCUGACGUUAGCGGCGGACGGGUGAGUAACACGUGGAUAACCUACCUAUCAGAGGGGUAUAACUUCGGGACACCGGAGCUAAUACCGGAUAAUAUAUUGAACCGCAUGGGUGAAUAGUGAAAUUCGGCUUUGCUGUCACUUCUAGAUGGUUCCGCGCCGCAUUAGCUAGUUGGUAAGGUAACGGCUUACCACGGCAACGAUGCGUAUCCGACCUGAGAGGGUGAUCGGCCACACGGGAACUGAGCCACGGUCCAGACUCCUACGGGAGGCAGCAGUAGGGAAUCUGCCGCAAUGGGCGAAAGCAUGACGGAGCAACGCCGCGUGAGUGAUGACGGUCUUCGGAUCGUAAAACUCUGUUACUAGGGAAGAACAAAUGUGUAAGUAACUGUGCACGGCUUGACGGUAACUAAUAAGAAAGCCACGGCUAACUACGUG